RNAcentral lists this long non-coding RNA (355 nucleotides) under Vigna radiata. Its description in RNAcentral is "long non-coding RNA (VRAD_LNC012587)". Lineage: Eukaryota; Viridiplantae; Streptophyta; Magnoliopsida; Fabales; Fabaceae. The record is from RNAcentral.
GUGGCAGGUUCAACAGAAACAGGUUGAGAAGAAAAACUAACAGGGUCUGGAACAAUAGAAGGAGGAGAUGUAGGUGGUAAAGAGGGUUGAUCAGUAACUUCUGAGAAAAAAGGUGAUGAAGAUGAAAAUUUUGGUGACCAAAUCCAAUGAAUUUAAAUUUUGUGUAUCAAUAGGUGAGUGCUUGUCACUAGUAAGAAAAGGAAAUAUGUUUUCAUAAAAUACUACAUUCCUUGAUAGAAAAAUUUCCCUUGAGUUGAAAUCUAACAAAAGGUAGCCUUUCACUCCUGUUUUAAAACCAAGUAAAACACAUUUUCUUGCACGAGGUUGAAAUUUUGUUCUAUGUGCUUGAAGAGUU